GGCGGACGGGUGAGUAACGCGUGAGAAUCUAGCUCUAGGUCGGGGACAACCACUGGAAACGGUGGCUAAUACCGGAUGAGCCGAAAGGUGAAAGGCUAGCUGCCUAGAGAUGAGGCUCGCGUCUGAUUAGCUAGUUGGUGUGGUAAGAGCGCACCAAGGCGACGAUCAGUAGCUGGUCUGAGAGGAUGAUCAGCCACACUGGGACUGAAACACGGCCCAAACUCCUACGGGAGGCAGCAGUGGGGAAUUUUCCGCAAUGGGCGAAAGCCUGACGGAGCAAUACCGCGUGAGGGAAGAAGGCUCUUGGGUUGUAAACCUCUUUUCUCAAGGAAUAAGAUCUGAAGGUACUUGAGGAAUAAGCAUCGGCUAACUCCGUGCCAGCAGCCGCGGUAAUACGGAGGAUGCAAGCGUUAUCCGGAAUGAUUGGGCGUAAAGGGUCCGCAGGUGGCAUUGUGUGUCUGCUGUUAAAGAGUCUAGCUCAACUAGAUAAAAGCAGUGGAAACUACAAAGCUAGAGUGCGUUCGGGGUAGCAGGAAUUCCUGGUGUAGCGGUGAAAUGCGUAGAGAUCAGGAAGAACACCGGUGGCGAAAGCGUGCUACUAGGCCGUAACUGACACUGAGGGACGAAAGCUAGGGGAGCGAAUGGGAUUAGAUACCCCAGUAGUCCUAGCCGUAAACGAUGGAUACUAGGCGUGGCUUGUAUCGACCCGAGCCGUGCCGGAGCUAACGCGUUAAGUAUCCCGCCUGGGGAGUACGCACGCAAGUGUGAAACUCAAAGGAAUUGACGGGGGCCCGCACAAGCGGUGGAGUAUGUGGUUUAAUUCAAUGCAACGCGAAAACCUUACCAAGAUUGACAUGUCGCGAACGUCUUCUGAAGGAGAAAGUGUCUUAUGGAUCGCGUACACAGGUGGUGCGUGGCUGGUCGUCACUCGUGUCGUGAGAAGUU
RNAcentral lists this ribosomal RNA (945 nucleotides) under Nostoc calcicola MBDU602. Its description in RNAcentral is "bacterial SSU rRNA". It matches the Rfam family "Bacterial small subunit ribosomal RNA", at positions 97 to 1076 of the family's 1533-position model. The record is from RNAcentral. Lineage: Bacteria; Bacillati; Cyanobacteriota; Cyanophyceae; Nostocales; Nostocaceae.